GGUCCUAUAGCUCAGUUGGUUAGAGCGUGGUGCUAAUAUUGCCGAAAAGGCGGUGUAACGCCAAGGUCGCGAGUUCGACCCUCGUUGGGACCA
This is a non-coding RNA of Ascosphaera acerosa, 93 nucleotides long. The record is from the annotation of a GenBank genome assembly. Lineage: Eukaryota; Fungi; Ascomycota; Eurotiomycetes; Onygenales; Ascosphaeraceae.